AAAGCAAAUCCAUUACGGUUUUUCCAUAUUGAACAACACCGUUGCAUUCUUAGCUAAUUACUCCAAUAGCUUGAUUUAUUAAUGUUAAUCACAGUCUGCAAAAAAAAAAAGGAGUCGAGCAAUAAUAUGAUUCAAGUGUAGCAAAUUUAAUUACAUAUAAUGAAUCUACACCAGCUCUAAAUUCCAAUAUGGUCUAAAAUAUCAAACAUAUUUAACAAGGUAUUUGUAGCAUUAAAUCCUAAGAAGAAAAUAUACAAAAGAGGAUAAAGGAAUGUAAUGGGAGAGAAUAUGGAGUAUAUGUUACUAAAUAACCUCCAGCUGAUACAACUGUAUAUGAGGACAAUUGGAAGUUAGUUACUACCUAACCGAGAUCUAUAAGAUCUCAGUGUAAGCAUUAUGAAAUUUCAAUAAAAACACCUUUACUUCUCUCCCUAUUUUUUAUUAUCUCUCUCUCUUCUAUUCUCUUUAAUGCCCUAUUUCUCUAUUAUUCAUCUUCUUUUUCUCUUUUCUAUCUCACUCUCCCCGUUAGAGCUAUAAUCUCUAAUAAUUGGUAUAAGAGCUAGUGCAUCCUAUGCUGGAUAAUUGUUAUUUGAAGUCUAAAACAUGGCCCGAUCUACAAUGGUAAGUCAGGAGAUGAUGAGGAUCGUAGAAUUGGAAUAAUAUAUUAGAAUGUUGUAGGAAACAACCCAAUAAAGUAGCGAGGAGUUGAGAGACCUUAAAGAGGAAGUAAAAAAGAAUUAUAAAGAUACCAAUGAAAUUCUGGAAGAGUUGCGCACCUUGAUGAUCAGGCAUGUGGUGGAUAAAGGCAAGGAGAUAAUUCCAGUGAAGGGCAAAAUAGAGCAGAAAACAGAGUUCAUCAAUCUGUCUCUAUUAAUUCAAAAGAGGCCCAUACUGCUCAAGCUAAGUAUAAAUGUAUUUUAGGUACUACUUCCAACCUCUCUCUCAUUAAUGAUGUAACUCAGAUACUUCCUAAAAAAUUGAGUUAGCCACUUUUUAUGGGAAGGAACAAAGAGUUUGGUUAAGAAAGUGUGUGAUAUUUCAAAAUUUAUAGAGUUCCUUGUGAACAGAGGGUGCCAUUAGCUAGUUUGUUUUUUAUGGAUAAGGCAGAUGCUUGAUUCCAUAAUUGGAAUAGAGAUAAGGAACAUGUUUAGGAAGAGUUUGAGAGGGGAAUAUGUAAUAGAUUUGGAGACUGGACAAUGGGUUGGAAGACAUAGUAAAGGGAUUUAUGAAACUGAGACAAGAGAGUUCUAUAGAGGAAUACGAAGAUGAGUUUGAGGAUAUGGAAACCAAAUUGGAAAGGUUAAUGCCUGAACUAGGGGAGUCUUAUUUUCUUUCAGGAUUCAUUGGAGGGUUAAAGAAUGAGAUUAGGUUGAUGGUGAAGAUGAUGAAGCCUGUCUCCUUAUCUGAGGCAGUGGAGGUUGUAAAGUUACUAGAGUAGUUGUUAAUGAAAAGUCAACCAAAAGGGGGAAGUUCUAUUACCUACAAAUCCUUACAAAAUUUCUAUCCAAAUACUG
RNAcentral lists this long non-coding RNA (1514 nucleotides) under Manihot esculenta (cassava). Its description in RNAcentral is "long non-coding RNA (MESC_LNC011873)". The record is from RNAcentral. Lineage: Eukaryota; Viridiplantae; Streptophyta; Magnoliopsida; Malpighiales; Euphorbiaceae.